UACGAAGGGUGCAAGCGUUACUCGGAAUUACUGGGCGUAAAGCGUGCGUAGGCGGUUUGUUAAGUCCGUUGUGAAAGCCCUGGGCUCAACCUGGGAAUUGCAGUGGAUACUGGCAAGCUAGAGUACGGUAGAGGAUGGUGGAAUUCCCGGUGUAGCGGUGAAAUGCGUAGAGAUCGGGAGGAACACCCGUGGCGAAGGCGGCCAUCUGGACGGUGACUGACGCUCAGACGCGAAAGCGCGGGGAGCAAACAGG
This 253-nucleotide ribosomal RNA is filed under the name uncultured bacterium. RNAcentral describes it as "partial 16S ribosomal RNA". It matches the Rfam family "Bacterial small subunit ribosomal RNA", at positions 524 to 776 of the family's 1533-position model. The record is from RNAcentral.